This 72-nucleotide transfer RNA is filed under the name Oryza sativa Japonica Group (Japanese rice). RNAcentral describes it as "tRNA-OTHER". The record is from RNAcentral. Lineage: Eukaryota; Viridiplantae; Streptophyta; Magnoliopsida; Poales; Poaceae.
ACUUGUGUGGCUUAGUGGUGGGAACAUAGGCUGUUGUUCUUGUGGUUGUGGGUUCGAAUCCCCCGAAGAGCA